UACGGUCACAUCUUGUUGAAACACCGGUUCUCGUAUGGUCACCGAAGUUAAUCAAUGUCGAGCCUGGUCAGUAUCUAGAUGGAUGACCGCUUGGGAAUGCCAAGUGCUGUA
Molecule: non-coding RNA, 111 nt
Organism: Acanthosepion pharaonis
Lineage: Eukaryota; Metazoa; Mollusca; Cephalopoda; Sepiida; Sepiidae
Source: the annotation of a GenBank genome assembly